UUAGCAGAGAUGCUUUGGUGCCUUCGGGAACUCUGAGACAGGUGCUGCAUGGCUGUCGUCAGCUCGUGUUGUGAAAUGUUGGGUUAAGUCCCGCAACGAGCGCAACCCUUAUCCUUUGUUGCCAGCGGUCCGGCCGGGAACUCAAAGGAGACUGCCAGUGAUAAACUGGAGGAAGGUGGGGAUGACGUCAAGUCAUCAUGGCCCUUACGAGUAGGGCUACACACGUGCUACAAUGGCGCAUACAAAGAGAAGCGACCUCGCGAGAGCAAGCGGACCUCAUAAAGUGCGUCGUAGUCCGGAUUGGAGUCUGCAACUCGACUCCAUGAAGUCGGAAUCGCUAGUAAUCGUAGAUCAGAAUGCUACGGUGAAUACGUUCCCGGGCCUUGUACACACCGCCCGUCACACCAUGGGAGUGGGUUGCAAAAGAAGUAGGUAGCUUAACCUUCGGGAGGGCGCUUACCACUUUGUGAUUCAUGACUGGGGUGAAGUCGUAACAAGGUAGGCGUAGCGAG
Molecule: ribosomal RNA, 512 nt
Filed under: uncultured bacterium
Lineage: Bacteria
Description: bacterial SSU rRNA
Rfam family: Bacterial small subunit ribosomal RNA
Source: RNAcentral